UACGUAGGGGGCAAGCGUUGUCCGGAAUCAUUGGGCGUAAAGCGCGUGUAGGCGGUUCGAUAAGUCUGCUGUGAAAGUCCAGGGCUCAACCCUGGGAUGCCGGUGGAUACUGUCGGGCUAGAGUGCGGAAGGGGCAACUGGAAUUCUCGGUGUAGCGGUGAAAUGCGUAGAUAUCGAGAGGAACACCUGCGGCGAAGGCGGGUUGCUGGGCCGACACUGACGCUGAGGCGCGAAAGCCAGGGGAGCGAACGGG
This 253-nucleotide ribosomal RNA is filed under the name uncultured bacterium. RNAcentral describes it as "partial 16S ribosomal RNA". It matches the Rfam family "Bacterial small subunit ribosomal RNA", at positions 524 to 776 of the family's 1533-position model. The record is from RNAcentral.